RNAcentral lists this unclassified non-coding RNA (352 nucleotides) under soil metagenome. Its description in RNAcentral is "partial contains 5.8S ribosomal RNA, internal transcribed spacer 2, and large subunit ribosomal RNA". The stretch from base 1 to 120 matches the Rfam family "5.8S ribosomal RNA", at positions 35 to 154 of the family's 154-position model. The record is from RNAcentral.
GAUGAAGAACGUAGCGAAAUGCGAUAAGUAAUGUGAAUUGCAGAGUUCAGUGAAUCAUCGAAUCUUUGAACGCACAUUGCGCCCGCCAGUAUUCUGGCGGGCAUGCCUGUUCGAGCGUCAUUACAACCCUCAGGCCCCCGGGCCUGGCGUUGGGGAUCGGCGGAGCCCCCCGUGGGCACACGCCGUCCCCCAAAUACAGUGGCGGUCCCGCCGCAGCUUCCAUCGCGUAGUAGCUAACACCUCGCGACUGGAGAGCGGCGCGGCCACGCCGUAAAACACCCAACUCUUCUGAAGUUGACCUCGAAUCAGGUAGGAAUACCCGCUGAACUUAAGCAUAUCAAUAAGCGGAGGA